GAUCCUGCCGGACCCCACUGCUAUCGGGAUGGGACUAAGACAUGCUAGUCGUGCGUCUCCUAGCCAUGAUGGAGACGCGGCGCACAGCUCAGUAACACGUGGCUAACCUGCCCUUGGGACGGAAACAUCCCCGGGAAACUGGGGCCAAUUUCCGAUAGGUGAAGAACCCUGGAAUGAGUCUUCGCUCAAAAGGCGCUUAGAUCAUGCUUCUAGGUGUUGCCCAAGGAUGGGGCCGCGGCCGAUCAGGUUGUUGGUGAGGUAAUGGCUCACCAAGCCUUUAACCGGUACGGGCCGUGGGAGCGGUAGCCCGGAGAUGGGCACUGAGACAAGGGCCCAGGCCCUACGGGGCGCAGCAGUCGCGAAAACUUCGCAAUAGGCGAAAGCUUGACGGGGCCAUCCCGAGUGCCAUCUGCUGAGGAUGGCUUUUACUCAGUGUAGAUAGCUGGGGGAAUAAGGAGAGGGCAAGUCUGGUGUCAGCCGCCGCGGUAAUACCAGCUCUCCGAGUUGUGGGGAUGUUUAUUGGGCCUAAAGCAUCCGUAGCCGGCUGGGCAAGUCCUCUGUUAAACCCAGCGAUUAAUCGUUGGCCUGCGGGGGAUACUGUCCGGCUAGGGGGCGGGAGAGGCCGUCGGUAUUCUCGGGGUAGGGGUGAAAUCCUAUAAUCCCGGGAGGACCACCAGUGGCGAAGGCUGUCGGCUAGAACGCGCCCGACGGUGAGGGAUGAAGGCUGGGGGAGCGAACCGGAUUAGAUACCCGGGUAGUCCCAGCUGUAAACGAUGCAGGCUAGGUGUUAGGGCGGCUACGUGCCGCUCUAGUGCCGCAGGGAAGCUGUUAAGCCUGCCGCCUGGGGAGUACGGCCGCAAGGCUGAAACUUAAAGGAAUUGGCGGGGGAGCACCACAAGGGGUGAAGCUUGCGGUUUAAUUGGAGUCAACGCCGGG
RNAcentral lists this ribosomal RNA (936 nucleotides) under uncultured archaeon. RNAcentral's name for it is "bacterial SSU rRNA". It matches the Rfam family "Archaeal small subunit ribosomal RNA", at positions 10 to 922 of the family's 1478-position model. The record is from RNAcentral.